CCCUUAGAUGUUCUGGGCCGCACGCGCGCUACACUGAUGCAUUCAACAAGCCUAGCCUUGACCGAGAGGUCCGGGUAAUCUUUGAAACUGCAUCGUGAUGGGGCUAGAUUAUUGCAAUUAUUAAUCUUCAACGAGGAAUGCCUAGUAAGCGUGAUUCAUCAAAUCGCGUUGAUUACGUCCCUGCCCUUUGUACACACCGCCCGUCGCUCCUAGCGAUUGAAUGUGUUGGUGAGGAGCUCGGAUUGGCAGCAGUUGGUGGUUCGCCACCGGCUAUUGCUGAGAAGUCCUCCAAACCGCCCCAUUUAGAGGAAGGAGAAGUCGUAACA
Molecule: ribosomal RNA, 326 nt
Filed under: uncultured eukaryote
Lineage: Eukaryota
Description: partial 18S ribosomal RNA
Rfam family: Eukaryotic small subunit ribosomal RNA
Source: RNAcentral